GUAGGUGGCAAGCGUUGUCCGGAAUUAUUGGGCGUAAAGCGCGCGCAGGCGGUUCUUUAAGUCUGAUGUGAAAGCCCACGGCUCGACCGUGGAGGGUCAUUGGAAACUGGAGAACUUGAGUACAGAAGAGGAAAGCGGAAUUCCACGUGUAGCGGUGAAAUGCGUAGAGAUGUGGAGGAACACCAGUGGCGAAGGCGGCUUUCUGGUCUGUAACUGACGCUGAGGCGCGAAAGCGUGGGGAGCAAACAGGAUUAGAUACCCUGGUAGUCCACGCCGUAAACGAUGAGUGCUAAGUGUUAGGGGGGUUUCCGCCCCCCUUAGUGCUGCAGCUAACGCAUUAAGCACUCCGCCUGGGAUACGGCCGCAAGGCUG
This 372-nucleotide ribosomal RNA is filed under the name uncultured organism. RNAcentral's name for it is "partial 16S ribosomal RNA". It matches the Rfam family "Bacterial small subunit ribosomal RNA", at positions 527 to 896 of the family's 1533-position model. The record is from RNAcentral.